Mercenaria mercenaria is the source of this 899-nucleotide long non-coding RNA. RefSeq lists it as uncharacterized. Lineage: Eukaryota; Metazoa; Mollusca; Bivalvia; Venerida; Veneridae. The transcript has 4 exons. The record is from RefSeq and is a predicted model, not a curated record.
CCCGUUAUCUACUUUCAUUUUUGAUUUUCAGAAAAUCCAUUAGCUAGGUUACGCCAUGUAAAAAAGUUUAGUAGCCAAAAUCUGUGGCUUAAUUUUUCGAGUCGAUUGUUUUGACAUUUAACAACUCGGACAGCUUAUUUCAGGACCCCUGAAAGACCAGUGCAGUAUUCAGUGAGGAUGUUGGAGGCAAAAUGGAAUGGAGCUAAAUAAUUUUGUACCGGUACCUUGAAAUUCUAAAAUGCUUUUAGAGAGAUAUCAGAUACAAGAGUGUACAUAUUUAGUUAUUAGAAGCAUUGUCUUCAACAUGUAUGGAUGAAAUGAUGUAAUCAGAGAUAUCUGAUGGCUUUAGUGACUAUGCUACAGGAUGAAAUGAGAUCACAGACAGGGACCCCAUCAAACACUAAACUAAAUGGCUGGAAUGAGGUUCCUGACCCUGGUGAUAGUUCUGGUGCCACCUAUUAUAUAUUGAGCCAACAUAACUCCAAAAAUGAUUUUGUUGUAUUCAUAACUUUCUAUUAAAUAAUUUUUAUAUUUAACAUAUCUUUUAGUUUAAUUUUUUAGUUAAAGCUAAGUGAAUAUUUAUCAUUCUUAACCAGACUUCCACUUGUCUGAUGUGUAGAUUUGAACAAAUGCCCUGUUACGGUAGGAAGUUCAAGCUACAAUUGCCAGGUUAGGCUAAGAAGUGCUGAAUGAUGACAGGUCCUUGGAUGGCAUGGACCCAGUCCACGGAUGUCAUGGACACCGUCCAUGGAUGGCAUGGCCACUGUCCAUGGAUAUGCCCUGGACACUGGCCAUGGGUGCCAUGGACAUUGUCCAUGGCCACUGUCCCUAGACAGGCAUGGAUUUUUAUCCAGGGAUACACAGUUUUUGUCCAUGGAUAUGUGUUCCAAUACUCCAUG